AGCGAACGCUGGCGGCAGGCUUAACACAUGCAAGUCGAACGCAUCCUUCGGGGUGAGUGGCAGACGGGUGAGUAACACGUGGGAACGUACCCUUCGAUCUGGGCUAACUUCGGGAAACUGGAGCUAAUACCGGAUACGCCCUUUUGGGGAAAGGUUUACUGUCGAAGGAUCGGCCCGCGUCUGAUUAGCUAGUUGGUGGGGUAACGGCCUACCAAGGCGACGAUCAGUAGCUGGUCUGAGAGGAUGAUCAGCCACACUGGGACUGAGGCACGGCCCAGACUCCUACGGGAGGCAGCAGUGGGGAAUAUUGGACAAUGGGCGCAAGCCUGAUCCAGCCAUGCCGCGUGAGUGAUGAAGGCCUUAGGGUUGUAAAGCUCUUUUGUCCGGGACGAUAAUGACGGUACCGGAAGAAUAAGCCCCGGCUAACUUCGUG
RNAcentral lists this ribosomal RNA (433 nucleotides) under uncultured bacterium. RNAcentral describes it as "partial 16S ribosomal RNA". It matches the Rfam family "Bacterial small subunit ribosomal RNA", at positions 29 to 507 of the family's 1533-position model. The record is from RNAcentral.